UAUGAAAAAAAUUAAAAUCUUUCUUGGGAACUUUUUUUAAGAGUAAACAUUGAUGGUGACUAGAGUGAUGAAUCUUCAUGUCUUCCUACAAACCUAGUCUGAGUCUGGACCUUGAAUUCUUAUAAAACCAUAUGGAGGCUCAUAACUCCCUCAUUACCUUGCAGGAAGUUUCUAGCAUUUGAAGAGAGAUGCAGAAGAACCCAUUCAUUAUUGCAUCCAGCACCCAGAAAAGUUCCUAACACAUACACCGAGAGUGGUCAGCCAGAUGGGCGGGAACCAGUAUGCUGUUUCUGCUAUCCAGUACACCUUACCAAGAUUUCACAGAACCUCUGACUAAUACAGCAAUAUUGAUUUUAUCUAAAGGGAAUUACUUUUAAGAAAAUUUUCUCCUAAAUCGCCCUGGAAGAUGCUCUCUUGUUUAACCAAAUAGUGUUGAUUAAAAGGUUGAAAUGAA
Molecule: long non-coding RNA, 454 nt
Organism: Homo sapiens (human)
Lineage: Eukaryota; Metazoa; Chordata; Mammalia; Primates; Hominidae
Exons: 2
Source: RefSeq, a predicted model, not a curated record